ACCGGGACCUUUGCAAUGAGUUGAUAGGCAGCCGAGCUGUCCUAGAAAGAAUGUGGGCGUCUCACUCCUUCAGAUCCUCCUUCAAGAAGACUUUCUGGAAGAACUGACCUUUCUGCUCAGCUGGGUCUCUUUGGCAGAUAAUUGGGUUGAAAGGGAACAACUGAAUUUCUGGAGCCACAGAACAAGGCCUUCGUUCCUCCACUCUGUCGACAUGAGUUGUUCUUCUGGGGCCUUCAUCCUCUGUCAUUCGUCCAGUGAGGCAGGUGCAUGGGAGCCCCAUCAUUGGCCUGAAGCUGUAAAAUGCAAGGUUCACCCACAGGUGUAAGCCGAAUAGAGAAGAUAACUUUCUGAAACUGAAGUUACCGGCCUUUACUUUUUCCAGGAAGUUGGAAGGAGAGGUGAGGGCUAACACGAGCAUCUCUGCAGUGAAAGGCAGGGCGAGAGGAACCUUCCCUAUUCUCACUGAUAGACACUGAAGAGAGGCCACCAUGUGAUAAAGGAACCACCUUUGCCAUCAUCUCCUUGUUGAAAUUGAAGAAAUGAAAUGAGCGCUGACGGAGGUGGGUGAUGUCACGCUGUCAUCUGCCAUCCCUGAAAUACCAC
This 603-nucleotide long non-coding RNA is filed under the name Equus caballus (horse). RNAcentral describes it as "lncRNA (ENSECAG00000059071.1)". The record is from RNAcentral. Lineage: Eukaryota; Metazoa; Chordata; Mammalia; Perissodactyla; Equidae.